This 253-nucleotide ribosomal RNA is filed under the name uncultured bacterium. RNAcentral describes it as "partial 16S ribosomal RNA". It matches the Rfam family "Bacterial small subunit ribosomal RNA", at positions 524 to 776 of the family's 1533-position model. The record is from RNAcentral.
UACGUAGGGAGCAAGCGUUGUUCGGAUUUACUGGGCGGAAAGGGCGCGUAGGCGGCGCGGUAAGUCACUUGUGAAAUCUCUGAGCUUAACUCAGAACGGCCAAGUGAUACUGCAGUGCUAGAGUGCAGAAAGGGCAAUCGGAAUUCUUGGUGUAGCGGUGAAAUGCGUAGAUAUCAAGAGGAACACCUGAGGCGAAGGCGGGUUGCUAGGCUGACACUGACGCUGAGGCGCGAAAGCCAGGGGAGCAAACGGG